UACAGAGGUCUCAAGCGUUGUUCGGAUUCAUUGGGCGUAAAGGGUGCGUAGGUGGCAUGGUAAGUCGGAUGUGAAAUCCCGGGGCUUAACCCCGGAACUGCAUUCGAUACUGCUGAGCUAGAGUACUGGAGAGGAGAUUGGAAUUUACGGUGUAGCAGUGAAAUGCGUAGAUAUCGUAAGGAAGACCAGUGGCGAAGGCGGAUCUCUGGACAGUUACUGACACUGAGGCACGAAGGCCAGGGGAGCAAACGGG
Molecule: ribosomal RNA, 253 nt
Filed under: uncultured bacterium
Lineage: Bacteria
Description: partial 16S ribosomal RNA
Rfam family: Bacterial small subunit ribosomal RNA
Source: RNAcentral